GAACUUGGUUUUGGUACCAUAUGUUUAUUUCAGUGCAGUAUUUGUUUUAUUCGAUUGCAGUUAAUUUAAAUUAGUUAGUACAGGUAGCCUAAUGAAAGUGGGCCAGGCACUUCUAGCAUUUACGCUAAGCCCGGUGUAUUUACACUGUUUAUUCUUGUGCUGAUUCAAUUGUACACCGUUUCAAUGAAAAAAACAAACAAACGUUUGCAAUGAAAUUAUAGCAGAAUUCAGCUUUGUUGGUACAUUUGGUCAAGACAAUAUUGUGUUACUCUAUUUUAAUUUUACAUUGUUAUCUGCCUGACAAAUGGUUUGCCCGAAUCUAUUAGUCUGACCAGCAAAUGUUUGAUGAAAUGAAUUUUUGUAUUUUUGAGGAAGAAAAUAAUAUUCCUUUGGUUCAGUACUUUUUGAGCCAAAAUAAGUGCUGCCAUAAUAUUGUGCUUGCUUGUCUGGCUGACUUCUUCUCACUUUCCAUUGUAGAUGUUUACUGGUGGUGAUAAUGUCACAAAGAAGAACCAGACUGAGCCCUGAAUCUGAGGCUGCUCCUUUUAUCUGGAGUCAACAAGCCUUGUUUGAAAGCCCAGUGGAUCAAUGAUUAUAAAGACACCAAGUGACGGGAUCUUGACUGAACCUUCUGGAGACCAAGAAGGGAGUGAGAGAUCCACUUCAUCCUUACAACAGACACCAAGUGACCUGACUGAACCCUCUGGAGACCAUGAAUGGAGUGAGAUAUCCACUUCAUUCUUACAACAGACACCAAGUGACCUGACUGAACCCUCUGGAGACCAUGAAUGGAAUGAUAGAUACACUUCAUCCUUACAACAGACAUCAAGUGACAGGUACCUGACUGAACCCUCUGGAAACCAAGAAUGGAGUGAGAGAUCCACUUCAUCCUUACAACAG
Hippocampus zosterae (dwarf seahorse) is the source of this 900-nucleotide long non-coding RNA. RefSeq lists it as uncharacterized. NCBI's taxonomy places the organism in Eukaryota, Metazoa, Chordata, Actinopteri, Syngnathiformes, Syngnathidae. The record is from RefSeq and is a predicted model, not a curated record. The transcript has 5 exons.